This 2777-nucleotide ribosomal RNA is filed under the name Pseudoscourfieldia marina. RNAcentral's name for it is "bacterial LSU rRNA". It matches the Rfam family "Bacterial large subunit ribosomal RNA". Lineage: Eukaryota; Viridiplantae; Chlorophyta; Pseudoscourfieldiophyceae; Pseudoscourfieldiales; Pseudoscourfieldiaceae. The record is from RNAcentral.
GAUGAAGGGCGCAGUACGCGGCGAUACGCCUUGGGGAGCCGGACACAGGCCAUGAUCCAAGGAUUCCUGAAUGGGACAACCCAAGUACUUCUCAUUGAAUUCAUAGAUGAGAAAGAGAUAACCUAGUGAAUUGAAACAUCUUAGUAGCUAGAGGAAAAGAGAGCAAACGCGAUUUCCUGAGUAGCGGCGAGCGAAACGGAACGAGCCUAAACCAAAACUAUGUUUUGGGGUUGUGGGACAGAAACUAAUAUUAUAGUUUGACUUUGUUAGAUGAAGCGAUUGAAUGUCGCGCCAUAGAUGGUGAAAGCCCAGUAAUCAAAAACAAAACUCUAUAACUUCUGAUCCCGAGUAGCAUGGGGCACGUGAAAUCCCGUGUGAAUCCGCGAGGACCACCUCGUAAGGCUAAAUACUCCUAGGUGACCGAUAGCGAAUAGUACCGCGAGGGAACGGUGAAAGAGUACCCUAAUCAGGGAGUGAAAUAGAACAUGAAACCGUAUGCUUACAAGCAGUAGGAGGCAUCAUUUAAAAUGCUAACUGCGUUCCUGUUGAAGAAUGAGCCGGCGACUUAUGGUCAGUGGCAAGGUUAAAACGAAUAGUUGGAGCCAAAGCGAAAGCGAGUCUGAAAGGGCGUCUGUCAUUGGCUAUAGACCCGAACCCGGGUGAUCUAACCGCGGUCAGGAUGAAACUUGGGUAAGACUAAGUGGAGGUCCGAACCGACCGAUGUUGAAAAAUCGGCGGAUGAACUGUGGUUAGGGGUGAAAUGCCAAUCGAACUCGGAGCUAGCUGGUUCUCCCCGAAAUGCGUUGAGGCGCAGCGGUUGAUGAUUAGGCUGUCUAGGGGUAGAGCACUGUCUCGGUGCGGGCUGCGAGAGCGGUACCAAAUCGUAGCAAACUCCGAAUACUAGAACAGAGCCAUCAGCCAGUGAGACUGUGGGGGAUAAGCUCCAUUGUCGAGAGGGAAACAGCCCAGACCAUCGGCUAAGGCCCCUAAAUGAUUACUAAGUGAUAAAGGAGGUAAGAGUGCCCAGACAACCAGGAGGUUUGCCUAGAAGCAGCCACCCUUGAAAGAGUGCGUAAUAGCUCACUGGUCAAGCGCUCUUGCGCCGAAAAUGAACGGGACUAAGUAAUCUGCCGAAGCUGUGGGAUAACAAUUUGUUAUCGGUAGGGGAGCGUUCCGAAAAGGGCGAAGUUUAGGCGUGAGCCUUGAUGGACUUUUCGGAAGUGAGAAUGUCGGCUUGAGUAACGAAAACAGGGGUGAUGAAUCCCCUGCCCCGAAAGCCCAAGGGUUCCUCCACUAGGCUCGUCCAGGGAGGGUCAGUCAGGACCUAAGACGAGGCCAAACGGCGCAGUCGAUGGAAAACAGGCGAACAUUCCUGUACUACGUUCCAUAAUCUGAAACAAUUUUUGUUGAAGCACGUACCGGAGGACGGAGAGGGUUAUGUUAAACGGUGGGCACGUUCUCUAACUCGCAGUGAUUACAGAGAGGAAAAGAAAACUCUUUGAGCGAAGAGAUUAGGGCUUUACUUUUUACUUGUUAUUUCAAAAUAACAUUGUGCCACCAAUGAUAAAAAGUAAAGAUUAACAGAUACCGAGAUCCCGAGAAAAGUCCGUACUAUGUGAAAUGAAGAACGUACCUGUACCCCAAACCGACACAGGUGGGCAAGUAGAGAAUACUAAGGGGCGCGAGAUAACUCUCUCUAAGGAACUCGGCAAAAUGGCCCCGUAACUUCGGGAGAAGGGGUGCCGGAUUAUAUCCGGCCGCAGCGACCAGGCCCAAGCGACUGUUUACCAAAAACACAGGUCUCCGCUAAAUCGAAAGAUGACGUAUGGGGGCUGACGCCUGCCCAGUGCCGGAAGGUUAAGGAAGCUGGUUAGGAUUACCGAAGCUAGCGACUGAAGCCCCGGUGAACGGCGGCCGUAACUAUAACGGUCCUAAGGUAGCGAAAUUCCUUGUCGGGUAAGUUCCGACCCGCACGAAAGGCGUAACGAUUUGGGCACUGUCUCGGAGAGAGGCUCGGUGAAAUAGAAUUGUCUGUGAAGAUGCGGACUACCUGCACUUGGACAGAAAGACCCUAUGAAGCUUUACUGUAGCUUGAGAUUGGGCUCGGGCUUUUCUUGCGCAGCUUAGGUGGGAGGCUUAGAUCCUAUUCUUUUGGGAAUAGAGGAGCCGUCAGUGAGAUACCACUCUAGGAAGGCUAGAGUCCUAAGGGUGCUCCCUUUGCGGGACACCUAACAGUCUCAGGUAGGCAGUUUGACUGGGGCGGUCGCCUCCUAAAAGGUAACGGAGGCGUGCAAAGGUUCCCUCAGGCUGGACGGAAAUCAGUCGUAGAGUAUAAAGGCAGAAGGGAGCUUGACUGCGAGACUGACACGUCAAGCAGGGGCGAAAGCCGGCCUUAGUGAUCCGACGGUUCCGUGUGGAAGGGCCGUCGCUCAACGGAUAAAAGUUACUCUAGGGAUAACAGGCUGAUCUCCCCCAAGAGUUCACAUCGACGGGGAGGUUUGGCACCUCGAUGUCGGCUCAUCGCAGCCUGGGGCGGUAGUGCGUCCCAAGGGUUGGGCUGUUCGCCCAUGAAAGCGGUACGUGAGCUGGGUUCAGAACGUCGUGAGACAGUUCGGUCCAUAUCCGGUGUGGGCGCUAGAGCAUUGAGAGGAUCCCCCCCUAGUACGAGAGGACCGGGGGGUAUGCACCGCUGGUGUACCAGUUCUUUCCCUACGAUCUGUAGGUAAGGAUACGCUGGGUAGCUAUGUGUGGAGUGGAUAACUGCUGAAGGCAUCUAA